Molecule: long non-coding RNA, 441 nt
Organism: Homo sapiens (human)
Lineage: Eukaryota; Metazoa; Chordata; Mammalia; Primates; Hominidae
Source: Ensembl
AGAAAUGGCUUUGCUGGGGACCCAGAGAACCAACAGGGCUUUUCCCGCUGCUUCCUCUACCCCUGUGUUUCGCUAGGCUCUCUAAAUUGACUCAGCUCCAGGUGUCAACUCGACUGAACUGGGGGAUGCUUCUGGAUGUGUCUGUGAGGGUGUUUCCAGAAGAGAUUAACCUGUGAGUCAGUGGACUGACAGAAGAAGACCCACUCUCAAUGUGGGCAGGCACCGUACGAUCAGUUGGGGGCCUAGGGAUGAGAAAAAACAGGGGAAAAAAGAGGUGAUUGGUGAUUCUCUCUAUCUCCCUCCCUCUUCUCUCUUUCCCUCCAUCCCUUUCUCCUCCCCCGACACUCCUUUCCUGGAGCAGGAUACUUGUUCUCCUUCUGCCUUUGGACACAAGACUCCAAGUUUUUCAGCUUUUGGACUCAGCAACUUGCACCAGAGGUU